UUUACACCCAAUUUGUUUACAAAUAAAUCGAAAAAAAAAGACGUAACAAAAAAAAAAAAAAAAAAAAAAUGUCUUUGAUUCUUAGUACAGAUAAUAUAAUUCAAAUAAAAUGCUCUUAUCUUAUAGAAAAAUAUCAAAGGAAGCUAAAAAACUUGAAACAGUUCAAAAAUGUAAAAAAUAAACAUAAAAAUUAUGGCCUUAACAAAUAUUAACAAAUAUUAUAAUAACUUUAAACAACGUUCAUACUAAUUUUUGUAGGAACUAAAACAAUCACUCGAAAAAAAAAAAAAAAGCUUAUUACAUUGAAAAAUAUAUGUUUAAUAAAGAAAAAGAACAGCUAUACGAUGAAUUUCGAAAAAGAAAUGAGGCGUUCGAAUUCGAGCGUUUAAAAAAAACUAAAGAAUUGUAUAAUACGUACUUUGCAGAUAUUUUUUUAUAUGAGCAAGAAUAUUAUCAAUGCAUUUAUAAAGUGUUUAAAAGCUUGUUGUUAAAGCGAGAAGAAAUUCAAGAAAAGGAAAAACAUGUCAUUAAAUUAUAUGACUGUGCACAUAUGAUACUUUCUGAUUGCAACCUUAAUAAAAUAGGAGAACUAAAAGGAACUGCAAUAAGUAAUAAUAAUACCAAUUAUAAUAUUUAUAAAGAAGAGGUAAGAAAUAACAAUGGUCAUAAUAGUAACAAAGACAAGAAAUCAUACCAUAAUAGUUUUUAUGAAGUAAAUGUAAAUGAUAUUUAUAAAAAUAAUAUAUAUAAUGAAUUUAAUACUAUAACAGGUGGUAUGUAUGAGCAGAAAAUAAAUGAACA
This 801-nucleotide long non-coding RNA is filed under the name Piliocolobus tephrosceles (Ugandan red Colobus). RNAcentral's name for it is "lncRNA (ENSPTEG00000015221.1)". Lineage: Eukaryota; Metazoa; Chordata; Mammalia; Primates; Cercopithecidae. The record is from RNAcentral.